AGGAAGGUCGGGGCCAUGGGCCGGCACUGCGCCUCGGGAGGGUCCGGCCACCGCUGGAACCCGAGGCCGGGGCUGGGGGCGCUCCGGGCUCCGACCCACGGGCCGGCCGGCCCUGCCCGGGCUGGGUGAGGGGCGCCCGCCUCAAGCUAGAGGAGGAGCGGAGGCCGCGCGCGGCCCGCCGAGCGCCUUCAGGAUGCUCAUCAAGGAAUACCACAUUCUGCUGCCCAUGAGCCUGGACGAGUACCAGGUGGCCCAGCUCUACAUGAUCCAGGAUCUGUAAUCCCAUCGGGGAAGGAAAAAGCGCCCAG
This 308-nucleotide long non-coding RNA is filed under the name Homo sapiens (human). RNAcentral describes it as "non-protein coding lnc-CDK2AP2-1:1". Lineage: Eukaryota; Metazoa; Chordata; Mammalia; Primates; Hominidae. The record is from RNAcentral.